AGGCUUAACACAUGCAAGUCGAGCGGGCGUAGCAAUACGUCAGCGGCAGACGGGUGAGUAACGCGUGGGAACGUACCUUUUGGUUCGGAACAACACAGGGAAACUUGUGCUAAUACCGGAUAAGCCCUUACGGGGAAAGAUUUAUCGCCGAAAGAUCGGCCCGCGUCUGAUUAGCUAGUUGGUGAGGUAAUGGCUCACCAAGGCGACGAUCAGUAGCUGGUCUGAGAGGAUGAUCAGCCUCUUUGGGACUGAGACACGGCCCAAACUCCUACGGGAGGCAGCAGUGGGGAAUAUUGGACAAUGGGGGCAACCCUGAUCCAGCCAUGCCGCGUGAGUGAUGAAGGCCCUAGGGUUGUAAAGCUCUUUUGUGCGGGAAGAUAAUGACGGUACCGCAAGAAUAAGCCCCGGCUAACUUCGUGCCAGCAGCCGCGGUAAUACGAAGGGGGCUAGCGUUGCUCGGAAUCACUGGGCGUAAAGGGUGCGUAGGCGGGUCUUUAAGUCAGGGGUGAAAUCCUGGAGCUCAACUCCAGAACUGCUUUGAUACUGAGGAUCUUGAGUUCGGGAGAGGUGAGUGGAACUGCGAGUGUAGAGGUU
RNAcentral lists this ribosomal RNA (594 nucleotides) under Bradyrhizobium japonicum. RNAcentral's name for it is "bacterial SSU rRNA". It matches the Rfam family "Bacterial small subunit ribosomal RNA", at positions 44 to 683 of the family's 1533-position model. The record is from RNAcentral. Lineage: Bacteria; Pseudomonadati; Pseudomonadota; Alphaproteobacteria; Hyphomicrobiales; Nitrobacteraceae.